UGAAGCGGGAAAAGCUCAAAUUUAAAAUCUGAUAGUUUUUAACUGUCCGAGUUGUAAUCUAGAGAAGUGUUAUCCGUGCUGGACCGUGUAUAAGUCUCCUGGAAUGGAGCGUCAUAGAGGGUGAGAAUCCCGUCUUUAACAUGGGCUACCAGUGCAAUAGUGAUAUGCUCUCAAAGAGUCGAGUUGUUUGGGAAUGCAGCUCAAAAUGGGUGGUAAAUUCCAUCUAAAGCUAAAUAUUGGCGAGAGACCGAUAGCGAACAAGUACCGUGAGGGAAAGAUGAAAAGAACUUUGGAAAGAGAGUUAAACAGUACGUGAAAUUGUUGAAAGGGAAACGCUUGAAGUCAGUCACAUUGAUCAGAGAUCAAUCUUGCUAUUAUUUUGCAGGGUGUAUUCUCUGGUUGAUGGGUCAGCAUCAAUUUUGACUGUCGGAAAAAGGCUGAGGGAAUGUAUCAUCCCUGUUGAUGUGUUAUAGCCCUUGGUUGUAUACGACAGAUGAGAUUGAGGAACUCAGCAUGCCGCAAGGCCAGGUUUUAAACCAUGUUCAUGCUUAGGAUGCUGGCAAAAUGGCUUUAAUCGACCCGUCUUGAAACACGGACCAAGGAGUCUAACAUACCUGCGAGUGUUUGAGUGGAAAACUCGAGCGCAUAAUGAAAGUGAAAGUUGAGAUCCUUGUCAUGAGGAGCAUCGAUGCCCAGACCAGAACUUUUGGGACGGAUCUGCGGUAGAGCAUGUAUGUUGGGACCCGAAAGAUGGUGAACUAUGCCUGAAUAGGGUGAAGCCAGAGGAAACUCU
RNAcentral lists this ribosomal RNA (793 nucleotides) under Limacella glioderma. RNAcentral describes it as "eukaryotic LSU rRNA". It matches the Rfam family "Eukaryotic large subunit ribosomal RNA", at positions 94 to 865 of the family's 3401-position model. The record is from RNAcentral. Lineage: Eukaryota; Fungi; Basidiomycota; Agaricomycetes; Agaricales; Amanitaceae.